RNAcentral lists this ribosomal RNA (276 nucleotides) under uncultured Oscillibacter sp. Its description in RNAcentral is "partial 16S ribosomal RNA". It matches the Rfam family "Bacterial small subunit ribosomal RNA", at positions 61 to 339 of the family's 1533-position model. The record is from RNAcentral. Lineage: Bacteria; Bacillati; Bacillota; Clostridia; Eubacteriales; Oscillospiraceae.
UUGAGGUUUCGGCCAAAUGAUAGGAAUGCUUAGUGGCGGACUGGUGAGUAACGCGUGAGGAACCUGCCUUUCAGAGGGGGACAACAGUUGGAAACGACUGCUAAUACCGCAUGAAGCAUUUAGGGGGCAUCCCCGGAACACCAAAGAUUUAUUGCUGAAAGAUGGCCUCGCGUCUGAUUAGAUAGUUGGUGGGGUAACGGCCUACCAAGUCGACGAUCAGUAGCCGGACUGAGAGGUUGAACGGCCACAUUGGGACUGAGAUACGGCCCAGACUCC